Molecule: ribosomal RNA, 363 nt
Filed under: uncultured bacterium
Lineage: Bacteria
Description: bacterial SSU rRNA
Rfam family: Bacterial small subunit ribosomal RNA
Source: RNAcentral
CGGUACCUGAAGAACAAGCCACGGCUAACUACGUGCCAGCAGCCGCGGUAAUACGUAGGUGGCGAGCGUUAUCCGGAUUUACUGGGUGUAAAGGGCGUGUAGGCGGGUUUGCAAGUUGGAUGUGAAAUCCUCAGGCUUAACCUGAGAGGGUCAUCCAAAACUGCAGAUCUUGAGUACUGGAGAGGAUAGUGGAAUUCCUAGUGUAGCGGUAAAAUGCGUAGAUAUUAGGAGGAACACCAGUGGCGAAGGCGACUAUCUGGACAGUAACUGACGCUGAGGCGCGAAAGCGUGGGGAGCAAACAGGAUUAGAUACCCUGNUAGUCCACGCCGUAAACGAUGAAUACUAGGUGUANGGGGUAUCGA